AGAGUUGAUCCUGGCUCAGAACGAACGCUGGCGGCGCGUUUAAGCAUGCAAGUCGAGCGGCAAGGGCCUUCGGGCCCCUAGAGCGGCGGACGGGUGAGUAACACGUGGACAAUCUGCCCCCCGGCCCGGGAUAGCCCAGGGAAACCUGGAUUAAUACCGGAUGAGACGGGACCCGCGAUGGCGGGAUCCGGGAAAGGCGCUGCGGCGCCGCCGGGGGAUGAGUCUGCGUCCCAUUAGCUAGACGGCGGGGUAACGGCCCACCGUGGCGACGAUGGGUAGCCGGCCUGAGAGGGUGGACGGCCACAUUGGAACUGAGACACGGUCCAGACUCCUACGGGAGGCAGCAGCUAAGAAUCUUCCGCAAUGGGCGAAAGCCUGACGGAAGCGACGCCGCGUGAACGAAGAAGGCCGUGAGGUUGUAAAGUUCUUUUCGGGAGGGGGAACAACCGUGGCAGGGAAUGGCCGCGGGAUGACGUGAAUCCCGGAAUAAGCCCCGGCUAACUACGUGCCAGCCGCCGC
RNAcentral lists this ribosomal RNA (519 nucleotides) under uncultured bacterium. RNAcentral's name for it is "bacterial SSU rRNA". It matches the Rfam family "Bacterial small subunit ribosomal RNA", at positions 8 to 518 of the family's 1533-position model. The record is from RNAcentral.